UGGGUGUGAAAGCUCCCGGCUCAACCUGGGAAUUGCAUUGGAUACUGGCGGGCUGGAGUGCGGUAGAGGAUGGCGGAAUUCCCGGUGUAGCAGUGAAAUGCGUAGAGAUCGGGAGGAACAUCCGUGGCGAAGGCGGCCAUCUGGACCAGCACUGACACUGAGGCACGAAAGCGUGGGGAGCAAACA
RNAcentral lists this ribosomal RNA (186 nucleotides) under uncultured bacterium. RNAcentral describes it as "partial 16S ribosomal RNA". It matches the Rfam family "Bacterial small subunit ribosomal RNA", at positions 589 to 774 of the family's 1533-position model. The record is from RNAcentral.